UACGAAGGGGGCUAGCGUUGCUCGGAAUCACUGGGCGUAAAGCGCACGUAGGCGGCUUCUUAAGUCAGGGGUGAAAUCCUGGAGCUCAACUCCAGAACUGCCUUUGAUACUGAGGAGCUUGGAGUCCGGGAGAGGUGAGUGGAACUGCGAGUGUAGAGGUGAAAUUCGUAGAUAUUCGCAAGAACACCAGUGGCGAAGGCGGCUCACUGGCCCGAUACUGACGCUGAGGCACGAAAGCGUGGGGAGCAAACAGG
RNAcentral lists this ribosomal RNA (254 nucleotides) under uncultured bacterium. RNAcentral describes it as "partial 16S ribosomal RNA". It matches the Rfam family "Bacterial small subunit ribosomal RNA", at positions 524 to 776 of the family's 1533-position model. The record is from RNAcentral.